This 64-nucleotide transfer RNA is filed under the name Asphaera sp. REN-2018. RNAcentral describes it as "tRNA-Trp". Lineage: Eukaryota; Metazoa; Arthropoda; Insecta; Coleoptera; Chrysomelidae. The record is from RNAcentral.
AAGGAUUUAAGUUAAGCAAACUUUUAACCUUCAAAGUUGACAAUAGGAAUUAUUCUAAGCCUUA